AGUGGGAAUCUUGGGCAAUGGGCGAAAGCCUGACCCAGCGACGCCGCGUGGACGAAGAAGGCCUUCGGGUUGUAAAGUCCUGUCAAAGGGGAAGAAAGAUGCCUUCGGGUAUCUGACCGCCCUGAGAGGAAGCUCUGGCUAAACACGUGCCAGCAGCCGCGGUAAUACGUGUAGAGCUAGCGUUGCUCGGAUUUACUGGGCUUAAAGGGUGUGUAGGCGGCUUUGUAAGUAAGGUGUGAAAUCCAACGGCUUACCCGUUGAACUGCACCUUAUACUGCAUUGCUUGAGGGUCGGAGAGGAUAGCGGAAUUCUGGGUGUAGCGGUGAAAUGCGUAGAUAUCCAGGAGAACGCCGGUGGCGAAGGCGGCUAUCUGGCCUAUUUCUGACGCUGAAACACGAAAGCCAGGGGAGCAAACGGGAUUAGAUACCCCGGUAGUCCUGGCCCUAAACGAUGUGCACUUGGUGGUGGGAUCUUCGGGUUUCGCCGCCGUAGCAAAAGCGUUAAGUGCACCG
RNAcentral lists this ribosomal RNA (512 nucleotides) under uncultured bacterium. Its description in RNAcentral is "bacterial SSU rRNA". It matches the Rfam family "Bacterial small subunit ribosomal RNA", at positions 353 to 871 of the family's 1533-position model. The record is from RNAcentral.